This 613-nucleotide ribosomal RNA is filed under the name uncultured bacterium. RNAcentral's name for it is "bacterial SSU rRNA". It matches the Rfam family "Bacterial small subunit ribosomal RNA", at positions 24 to 650 of the family's 1533-position model. The record is from RNAcentral.
UCAGGACGAACGCUGGCGGCGUGCUUAACACAUGCAAGUCGGACGGUCCGCAUAUUGAAAGCUUGCUGGAUAUGUGCGGAUAGUGGCGGACGGGUGAGUAACGCGUGAAGGACCUGCCCUGGGGAGGGGGAUACCGUCUGGAAACGGACGUUAAUACCCCGUAAGCCGGGAGGUGAAAGGCUCAUAAAUGGGCUGCCCUGGGGGGGAUUCGCGUCCUAUCAGCUAGUUGGUGGGGUAACGGCUCACCAAGGCGAANACGGGUAGCCGGUCUGAGAGGAUGGACGGCCACACUGGAACUGAGACACGGUCCAGACUCCUACGGGAGGCAGCAGUGGGGAAUAUUGGGCAAUGGGCGAAAGCCUGACCCAGCGACGCCGCGUGAGGGAAGAAGGCCUUUGGGUUGUAAACCUCUGUUGUACGGGAAGAAGGAAGUGACGGUACCGUACGAGUAAGCCCCGGCAAACUACGUGCCAGCAGCCGCGGUAACACGUAGGGGGCGAGCGUUGUCCGGAAUUACUGGGCGUAAAGGGCACNCAGGCGGAUAUGUAUGUUUGUUGUGAAAUGUCAGGGCUCAACCCUGGAGUUGCGGCANAAACUGCAUAUCUGGAGUACU